GACGAACGCUGGCGGCGUGCUUAACACAUGCAAGUCGAACGGAAAGGCCCUGCUUUUGUGGGGUGCUCGAGUGGCGAACGGGUGAGUAACACGUGAGUAACCUGCCCUUGACUUUGGGAUAACUUCAGGAAACUGGGGCUAAUACCGGAUAGGAGCUCCUGCUGCAUGGUGGGGGUUGGAAAGUUUCGGCGGUUGGGGAUGGACUCGCGGCUUAUCAGCUUGUUGGUGGGGUAGUGGCUUACCAAGGCUUUGACGGAUAGCCGGCCUGAGAGGGUGACCGGCGACAUGGGGACUGAGAUACGGCCCAGGCUCCUACGGGAGGCAGAAGUGGGGAAUAUUGCACAAUGGGCGGGAGCCUGAUGCAGCAACGCCGCGUGCGGGAUGACGGCCUUCGGGUUGUAAACCGCUUUCGCCUGUGACGAAGCGUGAGUGACGGUAAUGGGUAAAGAAGCACCGGCUAACUACGUG
RNAcentral lists this ribosomal RNA (468 nucleotides) under uncultured bacterium. RNAcentral describes it as "partial 16S ribosomal RNA". It matches the Rfam family "Bacterial small subunit ribosomal RNA", at positions 28 to 507 of the family's 1533-position model. The record is from RNAcentral.